AGAGUUUGAUCAUGGCUCAGAUUGAACGCUGGCGGCAGGCCUAACACAUGCAAGUCGAACGGUAACAGGAAGAAGCUUGCUUCUUUGCUGACGAGUGGCGGACGGGUGAGUAAUGUCUGGGAAACUGCCUGAUGGAGGGGGAUAACUACUGGAAACGGUAGCUAAUACCGCAUAACGUCGCAAGACCAAAGAGGGGGACCUUCGGGCCUCUUGCCAUCGGAUGUGCCCAGAUGGGAUUAGCUAGUAGGUGGGGUAACGGCUCACCUAGGCGACGAUCCCUAGCUGGUCUGAGAGGAUGACCAGCCACACUGGAACUGAGACACGGUCCAGACUCCUACGGGAGGCAGCAGUGGGGAAUAUUGCACAAUGGGCGCAAGCCUGAUGCAGCCAUGCCGCGUGUAUGAAGAAGGCCUUCAGGUUGUAAAGUACUUUCAGCGGGGAGGAAGGGAGUAAAGUUAAUACCUUUGCUCAUUGACGUUACCCGCAGAAGAAGCACCGGCUAACUCCGUGCCAGCAGCCGCGGUAAUACGGAGGGUGCAAGCGUUAAUCGGAAUUACUGGGCGUAAAGCGCACGCAGGCGGUUUGUUAAGUCAGAUGUGAAAUCCCCGGGCUCAACCUGGGAACUGCAUCUGAUACUGGCAAGCUUGAGUCUCGUAGAGGGGGGUAGAAUUCCAGGUGUAGCGGUGAAAUGCGUAGAGAUCUGGAGGAAUACCGGUGGCGAAGGCGGCCCCCUGGACGAAGACUGACGCUCAGGUGCGAAAGCGUGGGGAGCAAACAGGAUUAGAUACCCUGGUAGUCCACGCCGUAAACGAUGUCGACUUGGAGGUUGUGCCCUUGAGGCGUGGCUUCCGGAGCUAACGCGUUAAGUCGACCGCCUGGGGAGUACGGCCGCAAGGUUAAAACUCAAAUGAAUUGACGGGGGCCCGCACAAGCGGUGGAGCAUGUGGUUUAAUUCGAUGCAACGCGAAGAACCUUACCUGGUCUUGACAUCCACGGAAGUUUUCAGAGAUGAGAAUGUGCCUUCGGGAACCGUGAGACAGGUGCUGCAUGGCUGUCGUCAGCUCGUGUUGUGAAAUGUUGGGUUAAGUCCCGCAACGAGCGCAACCCUUAUCCUUUGUUGCCAGCGGUCCGGCCGGGAACUCAAAGGAGACUGCCAGUGAUAAACUGGAGGAAGGUGGGGAUGACGUCAAGUCACCAUGGCCCUUACGACCAGGGCUACACACGUGCUACAAUGGCGCAUACAAAGAGAAGCGACCACGCGAGAGCAAGCGGACCUCAUAAAGUGCGUCGUAGUCCGGAUUGGAGUCUGCAACUCGACUCCAUGAAGUCGGGAUCGCUAGUAAUCGUGGAUCAGAAUGCCACGGUGAACACGUUCCCGGGCCUUGUACACACCGCCCGUCACACCAUGGGAGUGGGUUGCAAAAGAAGUAGGUAGCUUAACCUUCGGGAGGGCGCUUACCACUUUGUGAUUCAUGACUGGGGUGAAGUCGUAACAAGGUAACCGUAGGGGAACCUGCGGUUG
This 1522-nucleotide ribosomal RNA is filed under the name metagenome. RNAcentral's name for it is "bacterial SSU rRNA". It matches the Rfam family "Bacterial small subunit ribosomal RNA". The record is from RNAcentral.